This 411-nucleotide ribosomal RNA is filed under the name Verrucomicrobiota bacterium. RNAcentral describes it as "Verrucomicrobia bacterium partial 16S ribosomal RNA". It matches the Rfam family "Bacterial small subunit ribosomal RNA", at positions 355 to 776 of the family's 1533-position model. The record is from RNAcentral. Lineage: Bacteria; Pseudomonadati; Verrucomicrobiota.
UGGGGAAUCUUGCGCAAUGGGGGAAACCCUGACGCAGCGACGCCGCGUGCGGGAUGAAGGCCUUCGGGUUGUAAACCGCUUUCAGCAGGGACGAGGCCUUAUGGUGACGGUACCUGCAGAAGAAGCUCCGGCUAAAUACGUGCCAGCAGCCGCGGUAAUACGUAGGUGGCAAGCGUUGUCCGGAAUUAUUGGGCGUAAAGCGCGCGCAGGUGGUUUAGAAAGUCUGAUGUGAAAGCCCACGGCUCAACCGUGGAGGGUCAUUGGAAACUAAUAAACUUGAGUGCAGGAGAGAAAAGUGGAAUUCCUAGUGUAGCGGUGAAAUGCGUAGAGAUUAGGAGGAACACCGGUGGCGAAAGCGGCUUUUUGGCCUGCAACUGACACUGAGGCGCGAAAGCGUGGGGAGCAAACAGG